UACGGAGGAUUCAAGCGUUAUCCGGAUUUAUUGGGUUUAAAGGGUGCGCAGGCGGCCUGUUAAGUCAGCGGUAAAAGCCCGGGGCUCAACCCCGGCGAGCCGUUGAAACUGGCGGGCUGGAGUUGGAGAGAAGUAUGCGGAAUGCGCGGUGUAGCGAUGAAAUGCAUAGAUAUCGCGCAGAACUCCGAUUGCGAAGGCAGCAUGCCGGCUCCACACUGACGCUGAGGCACGAAAGCGUGGGGAUCGAACAGG
This 252-nucleotide ribosomal RNA is filed under the name uncultured Bacteroidales bacterium. RNAcentral's name for it is "partial 16S ribosomal RNA". It matches the Rfam family "Bacterial small subunit ribosomal RNA", at positions 524 to 776 of the family's 1533-position model. Lineage: Bacteria; Pseudomonadati; Bacteroidota; Bacteroidia; Bacteroidales. The record is from RNAcentral.